UGAAAGGCCAAUCAAACCGGGAGAUAGCUGGUUCUCCCCGAAAGCUAUUUAGGUAGCGCCUCGUGAAUUCAUCUCCGGGGGUAGAGCACUGUUUCGGCAAGGGGGUCAUCCCGACUUACCAACCCGAUGCAAACUGCGAAUACCGGAGAAUGUUAUCACGGGAGACACACGGCGGGUGCUAACGUCCGUCGUGAAGAGGGAAACAACCCAGACCGCCAGCUAAGGUCCCAAAGUCAUGGUUAAGUGGGAAACGAUGUGGGAAGGCCCAGACAGCCAGGAUGUUGGCUUAGAAGCAGCCAUCAUUUAAAGAAAGCGUAAUAGCUCACUGGUCGAGUCGGCCUGCGCGGAAGAUGUAACGGGGCUAAACCAUGCACCGAAGCUGCGGCAGCGACGCUUAUGCGUUGUUGGGUA
Molecule: ribosomal RNA, 411 nt
Filed under: Escherichia coli
Lineage: Bacteria; Pseudomonadati; Pseudomonadota; Gammaproteobacteria; Enterobacterales; Enterobacteriaceae
Description: partial 23S ribosomal RNA
Rfam family: Bacterial large subunit ribosomal RNA
Source: RNAcentral